This 1210-nucleotide small RNA is filed under the name Arabidopsis thaliana (thale cress). RNAcentral describes it as "ATSL104880". The record is from RNAcentral. Lineage: Eukaryota; Viridiplantae; Streptophyta; Magnoliopsida; Brassicales; Brassicaceae.
UUUGUGGUUGAGAAAUGAGUCAUUCCUUCGUUCAUUGGAUUUCAUUUUAUUCCCUUUUUGUAUGUUUUUGUUCAUAGUGACAAUAUAUAUAUAUAUAUAUAUAUAUAUAUAUAUAUAUAUAUUAUAUAUAUGAUUGUUUGUUUCUUGUUAAAGGAUCUUUAAUAAAAUCUAAAUAAUACUAUGUUUUAUUUUUGUGGAACGAUGCUGCUUUUGUGUCCAUAUGUAGCUGGCACUUUGUGAACAUUUCUUGAUUAUCUAGAAUUAUCUUGUCUUUUUAAUUUUUUUAAAUGAAUAACACAAAAUAUCACAAGGACAUAUUUCGAACAAAGUAUAAUAAUGUUCUCGAGCACAUCAGCAUUAAUCAAUAGAGAAGGAAAAAAAAAAAAGUGAUACAAGCAUUAUAGUAUUUCAUACGCAAAUCCAUUCUAGAUAUUCUUCUAGAAAAACAUACGUCUCUUUAUAUUUUUAAUUUGGUGUAUCUCAGAUCCUCUACUAUCCAACUGUCUUGUAAAAGUUACUUUAACUAGCUAAUGUAAUUGAAACUGUAAUUUUAUAUGAACAAAUGAUUUAAACGGAUGAUUUAAUUAAUGCUAUAAAACUAGUUUGAUCAUCCUAUCUCUUCAGAUCACGUGAAUAUGAAUUCGUAGUCUUAAUUGAACAUAUUUAUCCACACACAUAUCUAUAUUUUAUAAUAUAAAGUUUGAAUUCCAAGUUUUAUACUCUAAAUAAAUUGGAUAAUGUUGUCAUAUUUCUCAUAUACAUAUCUUUAAAACCUUGUCUCUACUUAAGGCUUGGAAUCACACGGUCGUCAUUCAUCUUUUGAUUUGGUAGUCUGGCGAAGUUAGAAAUCAAUUUUGAGUUGGUGGAUAUCCUUCUAAAUGGGUGGUAGCCUAGUGAUAUUAAGAGUGAGUAUUCAAGAUCUCUAGUUCAAUCUCAUGAAAGAUAUAUAUUUUACAUUUUAAAUGUGAUUCUAUCAACGGUUAGUUAUAUACACUAACAAAGAUUACGUACUAAAUUCAGACUAAAAACAUGUAAUUCUGUAAUGGUGGAGUGAUGAACCUUCUAUAGAGAAAGAGCUUCAAAAUUACGAAUUCGAAUUUUUAUGUCAGAUAAAAAGAAGUGGUCUGCAUCCCGGUCCAAAAAUACUAUGUACUAAAAAUUCACAACUUUUUAGUCACCAAUCUUCAAGGGAUAAAUAAUAAACAAAGAC